CCAAUAGCGUAUAUUAAAGUUGUUGCAGUUAAAAAGCUCGUAGUUGAAUUUCGGAAUCUGUCCGUCGGUCGGGCUUCAUUGUCCGUACUGGUGUGAUGGGUUCUUACCUUCUGAAUAACCAGCAUGCCAUUUAUUUGGUGCGUUGGGGAAGCAGGACUAUUACCUUGAAAAAAUUAGAGUGCUCAAAGCAGGCUAGUGCCUGAAUAUAUUAGCAUGGAAUAAUAAAAUAGGACGGCAUGGUUCUAUUUUGUUGGUUUCUAGGAUCACCGUAAUGAUUAAUAGGGAUAGUUGGGGGCAUUAGUAUUCAAUUGUCAGAGGUGAAAUUCUUGGAUUUAUUGAAGACUAACUUCUGCGAAAGCAUUUGCCAAGGAUGUUUUCAUUAAUCAAGAACGAAAGUUAGGGGAUCGAAGACGAUCAGAUACCGUCGUAGUCUUAACCAUAAACUAUGCCGACUAGGGAUCGGACGAUGUUAAUUUUUUAAUGACUCGUUCGGCGCCUUACG
This 502-nucleotide ribosomal RNA is filed under the name uncultured Glomeromycotina. Its description in RNAcentral is "partial small subunit ribosomal RNA". It matches the Rfam family "Eukaryotic small subunit ribosomal RNA", at positions 591 to 1092 of the family's 1831-position model. Lineage: Eukaryota; Fungi; Glomeromycota. The record is from RNAcentral.